This 104-nucleotide non-coding RNA is filed under the name Terribacillus aidingensis. Its description in RNAcentral is "SAM-I sequence". It matches the Rfam family "SAM riboswitch aptamer (S box leader)". Rfam says of the family: The SAM riboswitch is found upstream of a number of genes which code for proteins involved in methionine or cysteine biosynthesis in Gram-positive bacteria. The SAM riboswitch acts at the level of transcription termination control. The predicted structure consists of a complex stem-loop region followed by a single stem loop terminator region. The record is from Rfam by way of RNAcentral. Lineage: Bacteria; Bacillati; Bacillota; Bacilli; Caryophanales; Bacillaceae.
UCCUUAUCAAGAGAAGUGGAGGGAUAUGGCCCUGUGAAGCUUCGGCAGCGGAUUCCGUUAGGAAAACUGUGCCAAAUCCAUCGGGUGAUCCCGGAAGAUAAGCA